RNAcentral lists this small RNA (172 nucleotides) under Nothoprocta perdicaria. RNAcentral's name for it is "TUC338 (ENSNPEG00000005127.1)". Lineage: Eukaryota; Metazoa; Chordata; Aves; Tinamiformes; Tinamidae. The record is from RNAcentral.
UUGACAGCCCUGGAGACAGAAGUCCCCUAUCAGCAGCACAUUACAGCCAUGAGAGAGGCAAUGGGUGUUUCCUACAGUGACCUGCCAACGUGCCAGGGCCCUGACCCAGAGGGACCACCUUUAGACUGGAGAAUGGAGUUUAGUUUCCAUGCUCAUUCAUGGCCUAACCUUA